GCCCAGACUCCUACGGGAGGCAGCAGUAGGGAAUCUUCCGCAAUGGACGAAAGUCUGACGGAGCAACGCCGCGUGAGUGAUGAAGGUUUUCGGAUCGUAAAGCUCUGUUGUUAGGGAAGAACAAGUACCGUUCGAAUAGGGCGGUACCUUGACGGUACCUAACCAGAAAGCCACGGCUAACUACGUGCCAGCAGCCGCGGUAAUACGUAGGUGGCAAGCGUUGUCCGGAAUUAUUGGGCGUAAAGGGCUCGCAGGCGGUUUCUUAAGUCUGAUGUGAAAGCCCCCGGCUCAACCGGGGAGGGUCAUU
This 307-nucleotide ribosomal RNA is filed under the name Bacillus subtilis. RNAcentral describes it as "bacterial SSU rRNA". It matches the Rfam family "Bacterial small subunit ribosomal RNA", at positions 329 to 627 of the family's 1533-position model. Lineage: Bacteria; Bacillati; Bacillota; Bacilli; Caryophanales; Bacillaceae. The record is from RNAcentral.